GGAGGCGGGCAGGGCCGGCUGCCGCCGCCGACAGCCUCGGAGGGGCUGGGCGGAGGGAGGCCGGGCUCGGCUUGACAGGAGCGAGGGCGGGAGGCGAGGAGGGAGGCGAGGAAGGAGGCGCCGCCGGCUGCGCUCGCCGGGCGCGGGUAGUUGUGACAGGUGCACAAUGCAGAACAGUGAUCUCCAGGAAGCAAGCAAGACAGCAUCCAUACUGCUUGCAAUUAACCCAUCUCUUCCUGAACUAGAAAACUAUUAAUGGAAACUACACUGCAAAAAUUAAAGCAUUAAGACAGAUCGCUACUGGAAACUGUUGCUUCAAGGAAAGGUGUUGCCCAAGUGCACGUAUGAGAUCCAUCUGUUUGGGGACUCAGGUGAAAUAUCUUCAGAGGUUUGUCUUAAAGAGUAACUAAGAUGGAAGCUACACCUGGCUGCUGAGACCACUGCACUUCUGAUGUCCAGGUUUGUCCCAGCGUGAGAGGAUGAUGAAACUUAGGCCAACAGGAGCCUGGACAGUAGUGCUUUCUGGUAUUCUGAAAUGUAAUCCCACUAGAUCCAAUACAGUUCUUCCCUGUUUUGUUUUGUUUUGUUAUGUUUUGUUUUCACCCCAAAAGCACAACUUUUAGAAGAACAAAUUGGAGCUCUUGGCCUGGAUGACUUGUGGGAUCGUGACAGCGUUGGUUUAGAAUUCAAAUGGUGCUGGAGAGAAGGCAGUCUGUGUUCUGAAGAUUUGGGUACCUGGAUUUCACCUGGAUCCAAACUGAAGUGGAAGUUGAAAGGUCUGAAUCUCACCCUUAAUGAAUGAAACGCAUUGCGUUUCAUUACAUAGAUUCAGGAGUAGCCUCUAGACUCAAAACAGGAACAGCUAUUAAAGAGCUAAAUGUUAUUAUUGGAUCCAAAGCCUGGUGAUAGUUGUUAUCUUUGCUUUGUUUGUGCAGGUAAUGAUAAAACACUCACCAUGUGCUAGCCCUGGGUUUCAAGAUCACAUCCUUGUGCCAGGUUGUAGCAUACAGCCCGCUAAAACCUAAGGCAUUGACAUUCAGUCAGGAUGUGAAGGAAGCAAAGUGACCAUGACUCAAAAUGAAAUAUUCAUAGACGCAAAGAGAACUGCAUAGCAGACUUUUCUCCCCUGCCUUAUUUUCAGUCUGGUACUUAAUUCAAAGUGCUUUCUGAUACACUUCCUGGAUUUUUUGCUUACAAAGCAGAAAAGGGAUGUGAAGCUUGAUUUAGGUCUGUCCCUUUACAUUACAUCCUUACUAAAGGAUAAGAUACAUCUUGGCCCACUUGCUUCUUUUUAUUCAUUAAUAAAAUUUCAUGUAACACAGCGUCCAGAGUCCUGUGCAAGGGACUGUUUCCACCCCAGGGCAUCCCCAUCUAUCUGUGUUUCAUCUCAUCUAGCCACGAAUCAUAUGCAAAUUUAACAUGUUGGAAUUUUAAAAAGUCUAUAUAUUAUUAAUAAUCCAUAUCUAUAUUUGACUAACUGUCCACGAGAAGCAGAAUUUUCAUCAUCCUUUAGUUUUCAUGACAAGCAAAGGAGGAACACUGGAUUUCCCAUAUCUCUGGGAUCACUUCAGACAGUGGCCUCACACAACAGCAAGUAUAGAAUAAUCUCUGUAAUUGAAGGAUUUUUUCAUUAAAACUGUCCUCUCUAAAAAGUUCCAAAUAUUUUGACUUUAUUCAUCUAUAUCUUUAAUACUUUUAUAGUUCUAAUAGGGACCGCAAGUACUUUACAUUUUUAAUAGAAACUGCAACGGAUUGUCGUUAUUUCACAGAUAUGUGCUAAGAAAAUUUAAUUUAUGUAAAAAUACUGAACACUCACAAGGGGUCUUGAGUAGAAAAAUGUAUCUGAAAUUUGUAGCCUUCUUAUUUGUAGCUUGGUUGUAGUAUGUACACUUUGUGCACAGCAUGCAACAGAAAUACAGAGACAUCUGUCACACUUUGUUCAGGACUCAUACUGUACCCUACGAAGUAAAAUUCCUUUGUACCCUCUGGGUGUCUCUCCUGUAAUUGUAUCCAGAGCAUAGACCUAAUGUACCGGAUUGCAGUGCAUUAAUAACAAGCAUGGUUUUGUAAUUGAGUGUUACAGCCGUGCGGAUUCUGGGAAGUUCCACCCACAGCCUUUGAUCUUUGGAAAAUCCCCAGCCUCUGGAUUGUCACUCGGGCAAAGCUGCAUGUCCUGACUGCUCAGAGGCCACUUGCAAGGAGCCCUCUCUGCCAGUUUGGUUCCUCAGCUGUUCCUGUUUAUGCUGGUGCCUGCCAGAAAAAUUCCCGUUUCCAGGGUUUGCUCUGCUUUUCUGUUGGAGAAGGAUCAACUUUGGAGUCCUUGUGAAGAUAAGGCUGUAAUAGCUAUCAUGUAAUGAGAACAUCAGAGUGAAGGGAAAUUAUUACAAA
Non-coding RNA from Anas platyrhynchos (mallard), 2388 nucleotides. The record is from RefSeq and is a predicted model, not a curated record. Lineage: Eukaryota; Metazoa; Chordata; Aves; Anseriformes; Anatidae.